GCCGACCCACUUCAGUACUGGGAAGAACAUCCUAAUCUGUUUCCCUCUAUGGCUGCUGUUGCGAUCCCAAAAAUAAAGUGGAGACCUACCUCUCAGAGAAAAACGCACACAUAAGAAAAGCCGACCCACUUCAGUACUGGGAAGAACAUCCUAAUCUGUUUCCCUCUAUGGCUGCUGUUGCGAUCCCAGUGUGCCCCCUGUAGCUCUGUGGACAGUUUUGGAUUUGUUUACAUCUCACCCAACCGCUCACGGCAGAUGGCUGCACCUCUCUAAGCCUGGUUCUGCCGGAGGUUUCUUCCUGUUAAAGGGAGUUUUUCUGAACACACUCUACCACCAACAAGGACAGCUCACCAGUGGGAACUGAUAGAUAAGACUGCUGAUGUGCUCUCAUCCAUUGAAGAGCUGACCAGAAACGUGAACAGAAAGACUGCACCUGAUGGGAUCCCUGCCAUAACAGAUGUGUUCUGUCCAGUGAAGGCAGUGGAGAAGCCCUACACUGAUCUUGAAACUGUGCCACGCUAGUAGAGACCGGCUACAAGGAUGGGCAGCUGUUUUCGCAAAGUCAGCCAACCACUUGCUUCCAAAUGACCCUUAUCCAGAAGUAUCCGUGAGUGCCUCAUCA
Oreochromis aureus is the source of this 622-nucleotide long non-coding RNA. Lineage: Eukaryota; Metazoa; Chordata; Actinopteri; Cichliformes; Cichlidae. The record is from Ensembl.